RNAcentral lists this ribosomal RNA (253 nucleotides) under uncultured bacterium. RNAcentral describes it as "partial 16S ribosomal RNA". It matches the Rfam family "Bacterial small subunit ribosomal RNA", at positions 524 to 776 of the family's 1533-position model. The record is from RNAcentral.
UACAGAGGGUGCGAGCGUUAAUCGGAGUAACUGGGCGUAAAGGGCACGUAGGCGGUUAGAUUAGUCUGAUGUGAAAGACCUGGGCUUAACCUGGGAUGUGCAUUGGAAACGGUCUAGCUAGAGUAUGGGAGAGGGAAGUGGAAUUUCCGGUGUAGCGGUGAAAUGCGUAGAGAUCGGAAAGAACACUCGUGGCGAAGGCGGCUUUCUGGCCCAAAACUGACGCUGAGGUGCGAAAGCGUGGGGAGCAAACAGG